GCCUAUCAAAUAUUACACGUAGAUUUGGGUCCCUGGCCGCUCUUGUCAGGAAAGUGAAGAGCAGGAGGAUUGUGUACGAAAUUCUGCGAUUUCUCCAUGGCUGCCGUCGGGAAGACCAGCAGAAUGAUGUUGAAGGAGAUAUUGCACUCUCGUAUUUCCCGAUCUCUUCUCUGCGCAGGCUUCCUAAAACCCCAGAAAGUCCUUAGACUUUAGCUUGUGGGAAUGCUGUUCUUCCGUUACCACGACGCUGGAUUGGUUCCAGCGCUAUUCGAUGCGCAGCUUCAGAUGCUGAUGGUGGUGAGAAGAAAGUACCAGCUUGGCCCUCCCAGGUUCAGCAGCUUCUGCAAGAAGCUGAAGACCGAGCUCAGGCAUUUGAUAUCUGAGCAAUCGCUGCAAAACUUAAACCGAUAUUUCUUUCUAUCCAAAUUUUCACUUAGGCUUGGUUUUACAGGGGAAAUGGGAGGAGAGAAUACUAGAAAUUACUGUUUUUGGGAGUUUUUCCUCGGUAUUCUCUCCUCUCUAAUUUUCUUCCCAUCCAAUCUAAGGGUUGAGGUAUAAAUUUCCUGGAAGAUCUUAUCUCCAAUGUUCUAGAGAUAUUAAUAGAAUUCUAUUUUCUCUGAAGCAGUAUGCCUUUUUAAAUUUGGUGUCGCUCGAUGCUUAUUAGAGUACUUCUGCGUAAAUUUCAAUUUGUAAUGGUUUUCUGCCACUUUUCAUUUUUCAGCAGUUAGAGACUAUCCUUAUCCCAGGACCCUAUUAAGAAACUGUCCAUUGAUCUGUUUAUUCAGAGAUUUUCAUAGCCACUGUCUUCUUUUAAUGAACUCAAUGAUGCUGCAGUUUAGUGAUGAUUCUGAUUUAUUUAUUCUUUAUCUCCUCCACUACUUCGUUGUUCCUCUAGAUGUCAUAAAAAAACCUGGUUAUCUGCAUGACUAGCAUUGUUCCUUACUUUACCUCCGAACCAACAUCUGAUGACAAAGGUAAACGCCAUUCCCUUUCUUCUGUUAUCUCAUAUGAUCAUUUGUCCACUAACCAUUGCAUUUAUGGCCUUUCUCUUUCCACUGACCCCGAACCUAGAACAUUCAAAUAAAUAUCAACACUGGAGGGAUGCAUUGGCUGAUGAACUUUCUGCUCUUGAGCAAAACCAUACCUGGAUCCUUACUUGUUUACCGGUAAGCAACCCAUUGGCUGCAAGUGGGUCUUUUAAGAAGAAACUUAAGUCUAAUGGUGAGCUGGAUCGCUACAAAGGCUGAUUAGUGGCCGAAGGCUAUACUCAAACUGAAGGAAUUGAUUAUUUUGACAACUUUUCUCCUGUGGCUAUGACGACUGCUGUUCGAUUGGUUCUUUCUUUGGCUGCUGCUAAAGGCUGGUUUCUUCAUCAACUUCAUGUGAAUAAUGCCUUCCUUCAUGGGGAUUUGCAUGAGGAGUUUUACAUGGUUUUACCUCAAGGAUUUCCUACUACUGAUUCUUCUCUUGUCUGCAAGCUUCAGAAAUUGCUCUAUGGCUUAAAACAAGCUAGUCAUCUAUGGUUUGCCAAGCUUUCUUCUGCUUUCCUCUCUUAUGGCUAUACACAAUCUGUUGCAGAUCAUUCCCUUUUAACACGUUCUCAUAAAGGUUCUUUUACUGCUCUUCUUGUUUUUGUGGAUGAUAUUGUUAGCUGGUGAUGAUAUGGCUGAAAUCACUCAUAUCAAGUCUCUUCUUAAUGAGGCUUUCAAGAUUAAAGACCUUGGAGAACUUACGUACUUCCUUGGUCUUGAAGUGGCUCGUUCUACCUUUGGUAUUGUUUUGUAUCAGCGCAAGUUUGCUUUGGAACUUCUUCAUGCUGCAGGUUAUCUUGAUUGUGAACUUGCCAAAUCUCCUUUAGAUAAGAAUUUUAAGCUGUCUAAGGAUAUGCUGGUACUCCGCUAGCUGAUUCAUCAGCUUAUUGAACUUUGGUUGGCUGCUUGUUAUAUCUCACCACUACCCAUCCGGGUCUCUGUUUUCCUGUCCAGCACUUAAAUCAAUUUCUUUCUGAUCCACAUGAUUCUCACUUACAGGCCAUUCAUUAUAUUCUUCACUACAUCAAAGGAGAACCUGCUAAAGGUCUUUUCUUUCCUAGUUCUUCUGACUUUCAACUUAAGGCCUUUAGUGAUUCAGGUUGGGCUAGUUGUAUGGAUACCCAUUGCUGUUUGUCACAGGUUUCUGCACUUUUCUUGGUCACACUCUCAUUUCUUUGAAGUCUAAGAAGCAGCCUACCAUUUCUAGAUCGUCCUCUAAGGCUGAAUAUUGUGCCUUGGCUGCCACAGCUUGUGAAAUGCAAUGGUUGCUUUACCUCCUCCUUCAUGAUCUGCCCGCUUCUCUGUUCUGUGAUAAUCACUCAGUCCUCCAAAUUGCAGCAAACCCAAUGUUUCGUGAGCGUACUAAACAUAUAAAACUGGACGGUCAUCUAGCUCGAGAAAAGGUCUGAUCCAAUCCGGUCAAACUUCUUCCUAUUCGCUCAGCUGAUCAGCUUGCGGAUGUCUUCACUAAGCUGCUGGAUCCUGGUCCAUUACAGAACCUCAUUAACAGUUUAAGUUAGAAUAGUUUUAUCCCUUGUGUUAAAUACUCUUGUAUAAAUUCUUGCAUAUGCUCAAUAAAGAUAUCUCAGAUUUUCUCCCAAUUCUAGUGUCAGGUUCAUUAUGUUUCCCCACUUUUAAGUAAAUUAUAUGGAUUUUAAGUACUUUAUUUUUGUUUCAGAUCAUGUUAUAGUGAGCUUUGCGAGAAGUGGGGGACCUGGAGGUCAAAAUGUAAAUAAAGGUGGACAUGCGGUUGAAUGUUAAAAAUGCAUAUUGAUUAGGUGAUAGGAUCUGGGAGAAAAUUAUGCAAAUGGUUUGUGGCAACAGAUCUUUUUGUUUAGGUCUCGAGCAGGAAAAAAAUCGCGUCGACAAGGAUGUGGAACUUGUGAUUUCCUUAACAAAAACUAGAACACGAAAGGUUAACAUCGAGGAUGCUUUGGAAAAACUUUGAGGUAAUAUAGAACAGUCGAUAAUAGACUUGGAUUAAAAUUGUUCAAAAGUUUGCAUGAGCAUCGAACUUUGUUAUGCUGGGGACAUUUGCAAAAUAAACUUGCUUCCAUAUACCCUCUCCUCCCAUCAUUAGCUUGAUAAAAAAGAAGAAAAGAAAUAUUCAUGAGUUCAGUGACAUCUUUGAAACAAGAUGGAAGCUGUAGAUGUCAGCUGGUUAAGACAAGACUACUACUUUCUGAAAUGAGGGCCUGGUGGAAGAAUGCAGGAUAGGGAAGUAAUUUAUAAACUCGUUUCUUAGACUUGUGCUUACUAUUCAUUGAUUUUAGGUCCUUCUCAGUUGGCUACUAUACGGUCCUUGUUUACUAUUCAUUUUUAAUUAGUUGGUUACUAUUCAUUUUUUGAGACAUGUCUUAGUUUUAAUUAGUUAUACUUGUUAUUUACUUCUUGUGAGCGAGCCUAUAAAUCCAUUCAGAAACUGAUUAUCAUUCCUCAUCCUACCUGGUUAGGGUCACCAAAGGAAGAAUUUUGUUCCUCUGUUAACUCCCCCCCCCAAAAAAAGAAAAAAGAAAAAAGCUUCUUUUUUUAACUUGGUAAUUUUUGUUGCUAUCUAAUGGAAAAAUCAGGCAAUUAUUGAUGCUGCAGUGUAUGUCCCACCACCUCCCUCGGAAGAACGAAAGAAGAAAGUUGCGAAGAUGUUAACUAUUUUAAAAAUUUCUAGUUCUUCAAGCUACAAUGAUAUAAUUUCUUUAUUGCGUGCUAUGUUGUUUUUCGGUUAAGUUACAUUGGUGCUACUCGAUGUUGAAGGGCAUGUAGCUGAUCUUUGUGGCUCGUGUAACUUUGAAGGGCUGCUAUUGGAGAGCAGAAACGCCUUAAGAGCAAGAAAGCGCUCUCAGAUAAGAAAGCAUUUAGAAGAAGUAAGUUUAGUUGGGACUAUGUUAUGGAAUACCCAAAGUUCGCAGUUCUUGAUCAUUACAUAGUUGCAGGGCAUGAAAGCUCAAUCCUUUGAUCCCAUAAUUGUACGUGCGAUGAGCAAUCGAAUGUACGAGGUGGACGUCAGAAGCCUAACCCAACGACCAGCUUGCUGAAAGGACCUCAAUGAAGUUUCAUUCUCAGAUUUAAAUGCUCUGAUUUUUCCCCCCUUUUUGGUUGCAGUUGUUGGUAUAUACAUUGGGAUAAUGCCAGAAGCACACAUUGGGCACCGGACCAGAGGGAAUAGCGCAGAUUGACAGCUAUAGAUUUAGGACUUAGGAUAUACUCUACAUUAUUCUUUAAAUUAACUAGUUUUUAUGGGUUCAAUGUAUGCGGAUAACAGUGGAUCAUGUGUACAUUAAAGUAUCUCGAAUUUGAAGAUUAACAGCUCAAGAUUUUCCUAUUUUUAA
Prosopis cineraria is the source of this 4357-nucleotide long non-coding RNA. RefSeq lists it as uncharacterized. The record is from RefSeq and is a predicted model, not a curated record. The transcript has 5 exons. Lineage: Eukaryota; Viridiplantae; Streptophyta; Magnoliopsida; Fabales; Fabaceae.